UUUCUAUGGGAGGCAGCAGUGGGGAAUUUGGACAAUGGGGGCAAGCUUGAUCCAGCAAGCCGCGUGGUGAAGAAGGCCUUGGGGUGUAAAGCUAUUUUGUCAUGGAAGAAGUGGAGCCGGUUAAUACCUUGGUUAAUGACGGUACCGAAGAAUAAGCACCGGCUAAUUUUUG
This 172-nucleotide ribosomal RNA is filed under the name uncultured bacterium. RNAcentral describes it as "partial 16S ribosomal RNA". It matches the Rfam family "Bacterial small subunit ribosomal RNA", at positions 335 to 506 of the family's 1533-position model. The record is from RNAcentral.